UACGAAGGGGGCUAGCGUUGCUCGGAUUCACUGGGCGUAAAGGGUGCGUAGGUGGUGAGGUAAGUCGGAUGUGAAAGCUCGGAGCUCAACUCCGAAAUGGCAUUGGAAACUACCUUGCUCGAGGGUUGGAGGGGGGACUGGAAUUCUCGGUGUAGCAGUGAAAUGCGUAGAUAUCGAGAGGAACACCAGUGGCGAAGGCGAGUCCCUGGACAAAACCUGACACUGAGGCACGAAAGCUAGGGGAGCAAACAGG
This 253-nucleotide ribosomal RNA is filed under the name uncultured bacterium. Its description in RNAcentral is "partial 16S ribosomal RNA". It matches the Rfam family "Bacterial small subunit ribosomal RNA", at positions 524 to 776 of the family's 1533-position model. The record is from RNAcentral.